ACUCCUACGGGAGGCAGCAGCUAAGAAUAUUCCGCAAUGGACGAAAGUCUGACGGAGCGACGCCGCGUGGAUGAAGAAGGCCGAAAGGUUGUAAAGUUCUUUUGCUAGGGGAGAAUAAGUGAGGGAGGGAAUGCCCUCAUGAUGACAAGGACUAGCGAAUAAGCCCCGGCCAACUACGUGCCAGCAGCCGCGGUAACACGCAGGGGGCGAGCGUUGUUCGGAAUUACUGGGCGUAAAGGGCAUGUAGGCGGCUUGGUAAGCCUGGCGUGAAAGACUGCAGCUUAACUGUAGGGAUGCGUUGGGAACUGCUUAGCUUGAGUUACGGAGAGGGAGCUGGAAUUCCUGGUGUAGGGGUGAAAUCUGUAGAUAUCAGGAAGAACACCGAUGGCGAAGGCAAGCUUCUGGUCGAUAACUGACGCUGAGGUGCGAAAGUGUGGGGAUCAAACAGGAUUAGAUACCCUGGUAGUC
Molecule: ribosomal RNA, 468 nt
Filed under: uncultured bacterium
Lineage: Bacteria
Description: bacterial SSU rRNA
Rfam family: Bacterial small subunit ribosomal RNA
Source: RNAcentral